UUUUUUUUUUUUUCUUUUUGUCUUUUUAGGGCCGCAUCUGCAGCACAUGGAAGUUCCCUAGCUAGGGGCUGAAUCGGAGUUGCAGCCACCGGCCUACACCACAGCCACAGCCAUGCGAGAUCCUAGCCACAUCUGUGAACUACACCACAGCUCACAGCAAUGCUGGAUCCUUAACUCACUGGGCAAGGCCAGGGAUCCAAUCCGCAUCCUCAAGGAUACUAGUCAGGUUCAUUUCCACUGAGCCACGACAGGAACUCUGACAAGUAGUUGAUUCUUGAACAACAGAGGUUUGAACUCUGUGGGCCCACUGUUUACACAAGCUUUUCAAUAAAUACAUACUAUAGUAUUACAUGAUCCACAGUUAGCUGAAUCCACAGAUGUGGAACCUUGGAUACAGAAGGCCAAUUCUAAAGUUAUACGCAGAUUUUCGACUACCCCAGACCCUUGAGUUGUUCAAGGCUCAGCUGUACAUUCGCAAUGUUGUACAAUCCACUCCUAAGGACUAACUAGUUCUAGAACUUCUCCAUCUCCUCAAAGGAAAAUCCAUAUCCAUUAAGCAGUCACUCCUCAUUCCUCUAUCCCUGACAGCCACUAAUUUGCUUUCUGUCUAUGAAUUUGGCUAUUUUGGAUAUUUCAUAUAAAUAGAAUCAUAUACCUUGUGAGCUACUGUAUCUGAUUUUUUUUUUCAUUUAGCAUAAUGUUUUCAAAGUUCUUCCAUGCUGUACCAGGUAUCAGUACCUCAUUCCUUUUUAUGACUGAAUAAUAUUCCAUUGCAUACACACACACACACACACACACAUUUUGUUUAUUUAUUCAUCUUUUGAUGGGCAUUUGGGUUGUUUCUCCUUUUGGCUAUGGUGAACAUUGUUGAUAUGGAUAAUUAAGCACACAGUUUUUGUUUAAACACCUGUUUUCAAUUAUCUUGCAUGUAUACUCAGGAUCAUAUGGUAAUUUUUUUUUAACUUUCUGAGGAACCACCAAACUGUGGCAGCAUCAUUUUACAUUCCCACCAGCAAUGUACAAGGGUUUUAAUUUCUCAAUUUCUAUAUCCUCAAAUAAAGAACCGUUAUUUUCUACUUCAUUGAUUAUAGUUACCUAGUAGGUAUAGAGUGAUAUUAUAUUGUGGUUUUAAUUUACAUUUCCGUAAUGAUUAAUGAUGUUGAGCAUCUUCUCACAUGCUUAUUGGCUUUCUUUGGAGAAAUGCCUAUUUAAAUCCUUUGCUCAUUUUAAAACUGGGCUAUCUUUUUAUUGUUAAAUUGUAAAUUCUUUGAUAUAUUCUCAAUACUAGCUCCUUAUCAGGUAUAUAAUUUGCAAAUGUCAUCUUCCAUUGUAUAGGUUGUCUUUCAUUUUCUUGCUAGUGUCUUUUGAAACAAAAGGGUUUCAAUUUUGAUUAAGUCUUAUUUAUUUUUCUUUUGUUACCUAUUUCUUUGAUACCAUAUUUAACUGUGGUGCUUCUUUUGAUAGCUACAAUACGUCAAUAUUGGCUUUAAUUUUUAUUAUAUUAAUCACUAUCAUUUGUCAAAUUGCUACCAUAUGCCUGGUAUUUCAUUUCCUUUGUGUGUGCUCUUUCAUUUUUCUCUUUCCCUCUCUCUCUCUUUCUGACCUAGUUGGUGUUGGGCCAUUUUCUAGAGAAAAAAAAAAAAAGUUCAAAAAGGAAAUUUUCUCUAAGUCAUUCAGUAGGAUAUGAUAGAAGGAGGAAUCAAAUCCAGCUUUGUCUAAUUGUACAGACCAUACUCUUUUUCUACUGUACUACGUUUCAUUAUUGAAUAGCAUAACAUAAAGUUUUUGACUUUGGCAACAAAAGAGGAAAUGUAUGUUGUAUUGGUUUUCUAUUGCUUCUAUAAUAAAUUGCCACAAAUUUAGUGGCUUAAGAAACACAAAUUUAUUAUCUUAUAGUUCUACAGGUCAGAAGUACAAUAUGGGUUUCUACCAGCUAAAAUCAAGGUGUUGGCAGGGCUGCAUUCCUUUCUGGAGGUUCCAGGGGAGGAUUUGUUUCCUUGCCCAUUUGGUGGGUUGACAGAAUUCAGUUCCUUGUGGUUAUAGGACUGAGAGCCCCAUUUCCUUUGAUUAAGAUGGGGACAUCUUUGGGAGAACAGGGCAUUUAUUCUCUCUCUCUCUCACACACAUACACACAGCUAUAUUUUUCCCUUAGCUAGGUAGAAUACAUAGAGUAAGAAGAACAGAGGACUGACAGAACUCAUAGAAGAGAAGACUGAUAGAACCCUUGAAGUAUGAUAUCAAGGGAGAGGCAGAGGAAAAGAAACCCCCUACUCCUGCCCCCUGAAAAAAAGAGCCUGAGAAGAAGCAAUCAGAGAGGUAGAUUCAAAGGUAGACUAAUCUUAAAGAUUCUUGUGUGAAGUUGUGCCUGUUCAUAACUUACUGAUUUCCUCUUUUAACUUGGAAACAAUUUUCUCCAAGCACUCCUGCCCCUUCUUUUACCUCCUAAUCCAGUCAUUGUUGAUGGUGCUGAUUCUUGGGCAGUGACCAGACAAAUUUCAAUUUUGCACAUAAUAUCCUGAAAUAUCUCAGAACACUGAGCCAAUGAAUUGCUAAAUUGGCUGAACAUUCAGAGACCUCUUUUCCAGGAACAUCUUGCUCCAGGCAAUAGAAUAAUAGAUCAUGCUAGAACUCCCUAAAGCAAGGUAGCUGUGGAAAGCUGCAAUACCUUGAUGGCAGAUUCCACUGCUGGCAAGCAAGAUACUGACCUCGGGUUUUCAAAAGGAGAGACCAAGCAGGGAAUCUGCUGGUGUCAAUAUAUUAUUUUUUCCCCCCAACUGAGUCCAUAAGUUCUAUGAGAUAUAGACUUGUGUAUUGAUAAGUAUUAAUUUCACAAAAAUAUUUCAGUGGAUUCGGUGUUAUAAGCUGAGGAUCUAAGGAGCCUCAGUGAUAGGGAAGUCAGAGAGGUUUCCAUCAAAUACACCAAUAUUUUCUAAAACUGAAAUACAGGAAUAUAGAAAUUCUAAGCAAGUAUAUAUGAGAAGUAAAGAAAGAAGUGAUCUUGAGGAGGGUAAGUCCAAAGCUAGUAAGGAUGAUUUGAAAUCACAGGACACAAGAGAUCAAAGGAAACAUGAAGAUUAACCCAAUCUUUUCAUUUUACAUUGGGGAAAUUAAAAUACAAGGAAGGGACUUUUCCAAAAUAACCUAGUUGCUGGCAAUAUCACUGGUCUCCUGACUUCGCCUUCAAUGUUCUACCUCCUGGGAUGGUCCAUAGCUGACGGCUCUACUACCAGUUGCUAAAUGGAUUAUUUUCUCUCAGCUACUUUAUUCCGGGGCCUCAGUGAGGUGGAUAAAAAUGUGAGUGAAACACUGCCACUCACAUUGCUUUAAACACUGUAAGCAAUUCUAGCCCGCUCUACUGGAAACUCAGUUCUAUCAUCUCUGAGCUUAAAGAAUGUCUUUUCCAAUGUACUAGGGGAUGGCUUAUGAAAACCAAUGAACUCUAGUUCUCUCCCAGGGGCCAUCAUACCUAGAAAACCAGAAGACAGUUCACAACUCAAAACUCAACAGCUCUGCAUAAGAGAUUUACCACUGGAUUCUGGGGAGCGAAAAUAGGAAAGAGAAAGUAGGAAAAGAGGUUAAUGGUUUCACCUCUGCCACAUCUGACUUUUUGCCAAGAUUUUUUUUUUUUUUGGUUCCAUCACCUUAUAAAGAGCAGGAGCCACAAUAAAGAAAUCCCUGAAACCUAUGCUUCCUAGCACAUUACAGAGUAAAACUAAAAUAAAACCACAGCUAUUUUCUUCUGUUCCAGAUUGAG
RNAcentral lists this long non-coding RNA (3754 nucleotides) under Sus scrofa (pig). RNAcentral describes it as "lncRNA (ENSSSCG00050075175.1)". Lineage: Eukaryota; Metazoa; Chordata; Mammalia; Artiodactyla; Suidae. The record is from RNAcentral.